CCACAGAGUCAUGUGUGGAAGAGUGCAAAAGGUCUGUUUGUGUGCUAGAGAUUCGAAGAGUCCAGUGGAAAGUGUGAAGUCCAUUGUACUGUGCAUGAGUCUGUUAUCAGAAGGCAAAAGGAUCUUUAAUAGAAGGCUGAAGAGUCCGUGCUGGAAACCAGGAGACAACGUCCAAGAUGAAGGUGAACACUGGAGCCCCUCUGAAGAAACAAAAAAAGUGAGAGUUUCUCAUGCACAGAAUGUGCAUUAGUGGUGAUGGAAUUUCUUCUAGGAGACAGAGAAACCCACAGUAAUGGAUUAAAAGAGUGCAAUUUUGAAGAAAAGAGGGAAGAUGGGAGAAGUGAAUAGUCAGCUAUAUUCAUGGUGUUGAAGAAAGAAUUUGGUUUGCUGGGAUACAGCCUGUGAUAACAGAACAAGGCCUGGAAAGAAACAGGUUAUGUCUGGCUGGAGAGUGAUUGGCAUUAACAAGGAAUAUUACCACAUAGUAGCAAAAAAAAAUAAUAAUACAAGGAAGAGCCAAUGAAGAUUAUGCAAUCUGAAAGAGAGGAAAAGAGACUGAACAAAACAAAGAGAUCAUCAGAGAACUGAGGGAAAGUUUCAAGAAGUAAAAUACGUUAAGAUCUGGCCAUGGAGUUCAAGCUGGCCUUGGACUGACUGUAUAAUCAUAGGCUGGCCUCCAACUCACAGCAAUCCUCCUGUCUCAGCCUCUCAAGCACUGGAUUACAGGAAUGUGCCACCAUGCUCAGCGAAUUUUCUGUUUUUAUCCAAGUUUUCAGUUUGAUUUAUUUUAUCUACCUCCUCAACAUUGCUUUCUAACUCUUUUUUCUCUUAUAUUAAGCUCUUUUCUUUCCCUCAUUGGUUCUUUUUUUCUUUUUUAAAUUAGCAUCACUGAUGUUUCCUGUAGAUUCAUUUUUUUUAAGUCUUUUAUUUGUUUUUCAUUCAGUUUGUUUUCUAUUCCUUGCAUGUUUUCUGUUUUUCCCAAAUUGUUGUUUUUAUUUUCUUCUCUUAUAUAACUUUUUUACAAUGUUUAAUGAGCUUUCAUUAUAUGCUUAGAUUUUAAAUGUAGGCCACUAAAAAAGCAUGCACAUGUUUGUACAACUUGGUAUGAAUAAAUAUGUUACUGUGGAAAAAAUCUAGCUGGCUGAUGCCUCAGAUCAUCCCUGAUACAGGAAACUAGAAUUAUUUUUCUUUUCUCUUUGGUCUGGUUAAACUUCUAUAAGGAUUUCUGGUCUUUCUCCUGAAGGUUAAAUGUUUGGCAGCUUAAGAUCCCUGGGUAGUUACCAACCAGGAGCUUUCAAACUACCAUAUUUCCUUUAUGUUUUUUAGUUGAUAUCUUUAAAAUAUUUUUAUUAUUAUUAUAGUGAUG
RNAcentral lists this long non-coding RNA (1366 nucleotides) under Heterocephalus glaber (naked mole-rat). Its description in RNAcentral is "lncRNA (ENSHGLG00000045698.1)". Lineage: Eukaryota; Metazoa; Chordata; Mammalia; Rodentia; Bathyergidae. The record is from RNAcentral.